This 449-nucleotide ribosomal RNA is filed under the name uncultured bacterium. Its description in RNAcentral is "bacterial SSU rRNA". It matches the Rfam family "Bacterial small subunit ribosomal RNA", at positions 73 to 507 of the family's 1533-position model. The record is from RNAcentral.
AAGGAGCUUGCUCCUUUGACGUUAGCGGCGGACGGGUGAGUAACACGUGGAUAACCUACCUAUAAGACUGGGAUAACUUCGGGAAACCGGAGCUAAUACCGAUAAGAUUUUGAACCGCAUGGUUCAAUAGUGAAAGACGGCCUUGCUGUCACUUAUAGAUGGAUCCGCGCCGUAUUAGCUAGUUGGUAAGGUAACGGCUUACCAAGGCAACGAUACGUAGCCGACCUGAGAGGGUGAUCGGCCACACUGGAACUGAGACACGGUCCAGACUCCUACGGGAGGCAGCAGUAGGGAAUCUUCCGCAAUGGGCGAAAGCCUGACGGAGCAACGCCGCGUGAGUGAUGAAGGUCUUCGGAUCGUAAAAACUCUGUUAUCAGGGAAGAACAAACGUGUAAGUAACUGUGCACGUCUUGACGGUACCUGAUCAGAAAGCCACGGCUAACUACGUG